Molecule: ribosomal RNA, 406 nt
Filed under: uncultured bacterium
Lineage: Bacteria
Description: partial 16S ribosomal RNA
Rfam family: Bacterial small subunit ribosomal RNA
Source: RNAcentral
AUUGAACGCUGGCGGCAGGCCUAACACAUGCAAGUCGAACGAGUGGCGGACGGGUGAGUAAUGUCUGUGAAACUGCCUGAUGGAGGGGGAUAACUACUGGAAACGGUAGCUAAUACCGCAUACCAUCAGAUGUGCCCAGAUGGGAUUAGCUAGUUGGUGGGGUAACGGCUCACCAAGGCGCCGAUCCCUAGCUGGUCUGAGAGGAUGACCAGCCAAAAGGGAACUGAGACAAGGUCCAGACCCCUACGGGAGGCAGCAGUGGGGAAUAUUGCGCAAGGGGCGAAAGCCUGAAGCCGCCAUGCCGCGGGGAUGAAGAAGGCCUUCGGGUUGUAAAGUACUUUAAGCGGGGAGGCGUUACCCGCAGAAGAAGCACCGGCUAACUCCGUGCCAGCAGCCGCGGUAAUUC